AUUGAACGCUGGCGGAAUGCUUUACACAUGCAAGUCGAACGGCAGCACGGACUUCGGUCUGGUGGCGAGUGGCGAACGGGUGAGUAAUGUAUCGGAACGUGCCCAGCCGUGGGGGAUAACAUAGUGAAAAUUACGCUAAUACCGCAUACGAUCUAUGGAUGAAAGCGGGGGAUCGCAAGACCUCGCGCGAUUGGAGCGGCCGAUAUCAGAUUAGGUAGUUGGUGGGGUGAAGGCCCACCAAGCCAACGAUCUGUAGCUGGUCUGAGAGGACGACCAGCCACACUGGAACUGAGACACGGUCCAGACUCCUACGGGAGGCAGCAGUGGGGAAUUUUGGACAAUGGGCGAAAGCCUGAUCCAGCCAUUCCGCGUGCAGGAUGAAGGCCCUCGGGUUGUAAACUGCUUUUGUACAGAACGAAAAGGUUUCUACUAAUACUAGGAGCUCAUGACGGUACUGUAAGAAUAAGCACCGGCUAACUACGUGCCAGCAGCCGCGGUAA
RNAcentral lists this ribosomal RNA (500 nucleotides) under uncultured bacterium. Its description in RNAcentral is "partial 16S ribosomal RNA". It matches the Rfam family "Bacterial small subunit ribosomal RNA", at positions 30 to 523 of the family's 1533-position model. The record is from RNAcentral.